GGCGGGGGGGGCAGGGGUAUGUCCUCCUGCUCCUCUUCCUCCUCCGGCUGCCCCUGUUCCGUCCCGCCCCGCCCCGCCAGGACGCAGGUGGCGGCCCUGCCCGGCGGCUGGUGUUCGGCUUUCCAGGUGACGGGGUGCUGAAAUACAUCUCACUGCUGUCAGUUUAGCUCCCCUCCCCCCCAAUGAGUUGUUGGGGUAUUUUUUAAGGGAUGGAACUUGGUUAAAUAAGAUCUCAGAAGGAUAACAUUCUCUAAUCUCCAAAGAUGGCAGCUGUUGCAGUGCUAGAGGAGGUACUGGUUUCCAUUGAAAAUGAGCUGCAAGCAGUGGAGAUGCAGAUUCAGGAGCUUGUGGAUAAACAGCAGGAACUCCUUGAAAAGAAGAUGAGGGUAAAGAACCUGAUAAAGCAGUCCUCAGGAGACUCGGAGGCAGGUGGAAGUAAAGACGCUGAAACAUCAGCUGAGACAUGGAACAAAAAAGAUUUUCCAUGGUAUGAGAAGAUAAAAAGUGCACUUCAGAGCAAGUUUAAGCUCCAGAAGUUUAGGUCCUUGCAACUUGAAACAGUAAAUGCUGCAAUGGCUGGAAAGGACAUAUUUCUUGUCAUGCCUACAGGUGGUGGAAAGAGCCUUUGCUAUCAGUUACCAGCAGUUUGUUCUGACGGUUUCACGCUCGUGAUAUGUCCUUUGAUAUCACUUAUGGAAGAUCAGCUCAUGGUUUUGGAACAGCUUGGUAUUUCUGCAGCUUUAUUAAACGCCUCGAGCAGCAAGGAGCAUGUGAAGUGGGUUCAUACCGAAAUGCUAGACAGAAAUUCGCAACUGAAGCUCAUUUAUGUGACCCCGGAGAAGAUUGCAAAAAGCAAAAUGUUCAUGUCAAAAUUAGAGAAAGCUUAUCAAGCAGGAUGUCUUGCUCGCAUUGCUGUAGAUGAGGUCCAUUGCUGCAGUCAAUGGGGCCAUGACUUCAGGCCUGACUACAAGUCUCUUGGUAUCUUGAAAAGACAGUUUCCCAAUGCUCCCUUGAUUGGAUUGACAGCAACUGCCACAAAUCAUGUUUUAAAGGAUGCUCAGAAAAUUUUGCAUGUUCAGAAGUGCAUUACCUUCACUGCGUCUUUCAACCGGCCCAAUCUUUACUAUGAGGUUCGACAUAAACCUUCAAAUAAUGAAGAUUUCAUUGAGGACAUAGUUAAGAUCAUUAAUGGAAGAUACAAAGGACUUUCAGGAAUCGUUUACUGUUUUUCUCAGAAGGAUUCUGAACAAGUUACUAUGAGUUUGCAGAAACUAGGAAUUAAGGCAGGGACUUACCAUGCAAACAUGGAUGCUAAACAUAAGACCAAAGUUCAUAAAGGGUGGGCAGCAAAUCAGAUCCAGGUUGUAGUGGCGACUGUUGCUUUUGGCAUGGGAAUUGAUAAACCUGAUGUGAGGUUUGUAAUUCAUCAUUCUAUGAGCAAAUCCAUGGAGAACUACUACCAAGAGAGUGGACGUGCAGGUAGAGAUGACCAAAAAGCUGACUGCAUUUUAUAUUACGGUUUUGGAGAUAUAUUCAGAAUCAGCUCAAUGGUAGUGAUGGAAAAUGUAGGGCAAGAGAAGCUGUAUGAUAUGGUGUCUUACUGCCAGAAUAUGAACAAGUGUCGCCGGGUGCUCAUAGCCCGUCAUUUUGAUGAAGUAUGGGAUUCUGCAAACUGCAACAGAAUGUGUGAUAACUGCUGUAGAGAGAACUCAUGUGAGAAAAUGGACAUAACAGGAUACUGCAGGGAUCUAAUCAAGAUACUUGAGCAAGCUGAAAGCAUGAGUGAGAAACUCACCCCACUGAAAUUAGUCGAUGCGUGGUCUGGGAAAGGUGUAUCAAAACUCAGGGUGGCUGAAGUUACUCCACCAAAGCAUCCUCGAGAGGAGAUGGAGAGAAUUAUUGCCCAUUUACUGCUGCAGCAGUAUCUGAAGGAAGACUUCAGCUUCACGGCUUUUGCUACAAUAUCCUACCUGAAGAUAGGACCAAAAGCAAGUUUGCUGAAAAAUGAGGCACAUGUCAUCACUAUACAAGGGAUAAAAAACAAGAAAAGUGUUUACAAGGACAAACCAUCUCAAUCUUCGAAUUCAAAAGGAAGCAGAGAAGAUGCUCAGACUGUUUCAAAGACUGUCCAAGAUUCAACAGUGAAGAACUCACAGGAACAUAAACGGCCUAAUUCUGGGUCUAACUUAAAAGCAAAGAAGCUUAAGCUUCAGGCAGGUGGAGAUGACCAACCAGUAGUUCUUGACUGAGUUUCACAGAUUACGUUUAGGAUUCAAUCAUGUUUGCUUCUCCAUGGACAAUGCAGUGUAAAGACAUGAACAUUUUUUUUAGUUGCCCCGUCCUACCUUCUGCAGUGAGCAAUGAAGUGUGUGCCUCGAAGCCCUUUUUCUUUCCAGGCCUAACCUCACCCCUUCACCCAACCCCGUCCUCCUGAACUGCGGCCAUUCUACACAAAGGCCUUUCCCCAGUGCUCUCUAGGGACUGAAGAAAAUCUCCCCCUACGGGAUUCUUUCGCCUCCCGUUUCAGCAGGGAGACCGUUUACCUGUAUGGAAAGCAGAAACACGUACCUGUUGACGUCCUUUGAUCGGUGUUUCCGGGAACAAGGAGCUGUGCUGCCAGACUGGGAAAGGCCCAACAGUUACUGUGGACGUCGAGCAUUUGCUGAGGUACACGUGAGACUGAAUGCUAGAUUACAUUUUUAAUUGGUUUCUUUUUUUUAAGAUCUUAGCAGCCAACGAACGAUCAGUAAAGCGAGUUCAAGCUCAUUAUGAACUUAAGUUCUGGUAGGUUUCAUUUCAGUUUCCCACACACACAUUCAGACGUACACCAACUUAAAUACAAAACAAACGUGAUUAAGAA
Molecule: RNA transcript, 2860 nt
Organism: Calidris pugnax (ruff)
Lineage: Eukaryota; Metazoa; Chordata; Aves; Charadriiformes; Scolopacidae
Gene: RECQL
Gene name: RecQ helicase-like
Exons: 16
Source: RefSeq, a predicted model, not a curated record